Small nucleolar RNA from Echinops telfairi (small Madagascar hedgehog), 126 nucleotides. NCBI's taxonomy places the organism in Eukaryota, Metazoa, Chordata, Mammalia, Afrosoricida, Tenrecidae. The record is from Ensembl.
UACAACAGAAAUAACCGUAGUCUAAGAAUAUAAUUUGAUAAUUAAACUUUUGGACAUUAAAACAGGCUUGGGAAAAUGACUGGGUAGAAAAUAUUAUUCUAUUCACUUUGUUCCCAGCCUACAUUU